Long non-coding RNA from Nannospalax galili (Upper Galilee mountains blind mole rat), 1597 nucleotides. RefSeq lists it as uncharacterized. The record is from RefSeq and is a predicted model, not a curated record. The transcript is spliced from 3 exons. Lineage: Eukaryota; Metazoa; Chordata; Mammalia; Rodentia; Spalacidae.
ACACCUGAUGUGGAUGCUGAGAAUCAAACUCAGGUCCUCCGCAAUAGCAAGCAGUAAGCGCUCAACUGCUGAGCCAUCUCUCCAACCCUGAAGAGAGGUUAUUAAAUAAAGCUUUUAGGAUACAGUGCAAUCAGUCUGACAUGGAAAAAAAGCAUAAUGAAGGCUGCCUCUCCUGGACCCUGCAGUCCCUUCAGCCCCUGGAACAGAGAUGUGCACACCCCUGAAGAAUUUCCUCUCUGGGUUCUCCUUCCAGAAGGCCAGAAAAUACUACAUAGCCUGGAGCUUCUCACCAGGUGAAGUGAGACAGAGACCCAGAAUGGAUGUCCAGACCAGAAGCCAUUUAAGAGGCAACUCACACCGUGACCCUAGCCACUCCACAGCUAUCAAAGUGCCUGAAAAGCAGAUCCCGAGUCCAGUUGUCACAGGCAAAUGAAAAAUGAAGAGAAACCGAAUAAAUAGAUGAUUUUUGGAAGCUUUCAUCAAGAAAUUCUAGUGGACUUUAAAUUGGACAUUUUCAAUUCACCCUGUUGUGACUUUUUCUGAUUCUCUGCCUAUAAUUUGUGCCUAACUACUCUUUACUUCUCCUUCAUAGGCACUAGUUAAAGACUUUCUUUUCUCUCUAUAGCUAUACUUUUGGGUCUUUCAAACAGACCCACUGGAGGGGUGCCCCAUUUGCCACACCCCACAUCCCUAUUCAGCAUGGAAGAAGCCAGAAUGACCGGCCCUAAUUCCCUAUUGGCAAUCAGGGUUACCUCUUAGAGGGCAGAAUAAUGAGAAUAGGAGGUAGAAAGUGACUAGACAGCAUUAAAGUAACGACCCCAAAUGAAAAAUGACCAGCUGAGAGCUGGAAAUUUCCUUGGACUUUUCCUUACCUGAGACUAGAGAUACCUGAAGUAUCAGAAAAGGGAGGUAUCUGUGCUGUAUUUAUGUAAAUCAAUCUGACACAGUUAAAGAAAAUUCAAGGCAGCUAUUAAUCUGGUAUGGUAAAAAUGCAAAGCAGCUACUAGAGAGAAUAAAGGCUGAACAAAAAAGAGUCUUUCUAAAAGAGUACCUGGAAUACUUGAGGCCUCUGAAUAGCCUUACUAACAGGACCAAUAGUGAGUUCUACUAACUCUCCUGUUAAGAUCUUGGAUAAUAAACUUACCAAAUUUAUCAAAAACCAAGUAGAGGUCAUUAGACUCCAGGUGAUUCAUCAAGAAUAUCUCAGAGUUCCUCUUAAAUAAAUAUAAGGGAUUAUGUUGAUGAAGAGGAAGGAAUAUAAUGGAAAUCUCUGAGACAAGAGCUAGAAACGGGGGAGGUGAACAGGAACCUUCCCUUCCCCCCUACGGUUAUCCAAAUAGAAGUCUUUAUUUUCCCAAACUGCAGCAUUCCUAUAACCUUUGCCAGGAUGGAAGUCAUUGUUUGCCAAGCCUGCCACUUCCUGUAUCCUUUAUGACCAUAUGCUACUUGUAAACCACUUACUUAAUUACCACAUAUGUUAUUUGCCCUUUGCUUGCAUUCCUCAUAGGAGCACAAAGGUCCCCAAAAACUUGAGGUGGAGGCUGACUCCUUUAUGGAAUGAUCUGUGUCAGUCCUGCUAGUGGAAGAAUAAACUACU